This 429-nucleotide ribosomal RNA is filed under the name uncultured bacterium. RNAcentral's name for it is "bacterial SSU rRNA". It matches the Rfam family "Bacterial small subunit ribosomal RNA", at positions 355 to 776 of the family's 1533-position model. The record is from RNAcentral.
UGGGGAAUCUUGCGCAAUGCGCGAAAGCGUGACGCAGCAACGCCGCGUGGGGGAAGAAGGCCUUCGGGUUGUAAACCCCUUUCAGUUGGGACGAAGGUCGGGCCGUUAAUAGCGGUUCCGGCUGACGGUACCUUCACAAGAAGCUCCGGCUAACUACGUGCCAGCAGCCGCGGUAAUACGUAGGGAGCAAGCGUUGUCCGGAAUCAUUGGGCGUAAAGAGCGUGUAGGCGGCCCGGUAAGUCGGUUGUGAAAGUCAAGGGCUCAACCCUUGAAAGCCGACCGAUACUGCCGGGCUAGAAUCCGGAAGAGGCGAGUGGAAUUCCUGGUGUAGCGGUGAAAUGCGCAGAUAUCAGGAGGAACACCAAUGGCGAAGGCAGCUCGCUGGGACGGUAUUGACGCUGAGACGCGAAAGCGUGGGGAGCAAACAGG